Molecule: ribosomal RNA, 301 nt
Filed under: uncultured bacterium
Lineage: Bacteria
Description: partial 16S ribosomal RNA
Rfam family: Bacterial small subunit ribosomal RNA
Source: RNAcentral
CAGUCGCCGCGGUAAUACGGAGGGUGCGAGCGUUAACCGGAAUAACUGGGCGUAAAGGGCACGCAGGCGGUGACUUAAGUGAGGUGUGAAAGCCCCGGGCUUAACCUGGGAAUUGCAUUUCAUACUGGGUCGCUAGAGUACUUUAGGGAGGGGUAGAAUUCCACGUGUAGCGGUGAAAUGCGUAGAGACGUGGAGGAAUACCGAAGGCGAAGGCAGCCCCUUGGGAAAGCACUGACGCUCAUGUGCGAAAGCGUGGGGAGCAAACAGGAUUAGAUACCCGCGUAGUCCCUGUCUCUUAUAA